CCCUUAGAUGUUCUGGGCCGCACGCGCGCUACACUGACGAAUGCAACGAGCUUAUAACCUUGGCCGAAAGGUCUGGGUAAUCUCCAAAUUUCGUCGUGAUGGGGAUAGAUUAUUGCAAUUAUUAAUCUUCAACGAGGAAUGCCUAGUAAGCGCAAGUCAUCAGCUGGCGUUGAUUACGUCCCUGCCCUUUGUACACACCGCCCGUCGCUCCUACCGAUUGAAUGGUCCGGUGAAGCGUUCGGACCGUGGCCUUUGGACGGUUCGCCGUCUGUUGGCUGCGGGAAGUUCGUUAAACCUUAUCAUUUAGAGGAAGGAGAAGUCGUAACA
RNAcentral lists this ribosomal RNA (327 nucleotides) under uncultured eukaryote. RNAcentral describes it as "partial 18S ribosomal RNA". It matches the Rfam family "Eukaryotic small subunit ribosomal RNA", at positions 1470 to 1796 of the family's 1831-position model. The record is from RNAcentral.